RNAcentral lists this ribosomal RNA (430 nucleotides) under uncultured bacterium. RNAcentral's name for it is "partial 16S ribosomal RNA". It matches the Rfam family "Bacterial small subunit ribosomal RNA", at positions 354 to 796 of the family's 1533-position model. The record is from RNAcentral.
GUGGGGAAUAUUGCACAAUGGGCGCAAGCCUGAUGCAGCAACGCCGCGUGAGGGAUGACGGCCUUCGGGUUGUAAACCUCUUUUAGUAGGGAAGAAGCGAAAGUGACGGUACCUGCAGAAAAAGCACCGGCUAACUACGUGCCAGCAGCCGCGGUAAUACGUAGGGUGCAAGCGUUGUCCGGAAUUAUUGGGCGUAAAGAGCUCGUAGGCGGCUUGUCGCGUCUGCUGUGAAAACCCGAGGCUCAACCUCGGGCCUGCAGUGGGUACGGGCAGGCUAGAGUGCGGUAGGGGAGAUUGGAAUUCCUGGUGUAGCGGUGGAAUGCGCAGAUAUCAGGAGGAACACCGAUGGCGAAGGCAGAUCUCUGGGCCGUAACUGACGCUGAGGAGCGAAAGCAUGGGGAGCGAACAGGAUUAGAAACCCUUGUAGUCC